GACGAACCGUGCGAACGUUAUUCGGAAUCACUGGGCUUAAAAGCGCGUGUAGGCGGGAUGGCACGUCGGUCGCUGAAAGCCCCCGGCUCAACCGGGGAAGUGGCGCCGAUACGACCACCCUGGAGGGACGUAGGGGGACCUGGAACUUCCGGUGGAGCGGUGAAAAUGCGUUGAGAUCCGGGAAGAACACCGGUGGCGAAGGCGGCCCGCUGGGCAGUGGCUGACGCUGAGGCGCGACAGCGUGGGGAGCAAACAGG
This 257-nucleotide ribosomal RNA is filed under the name uncultured bacterium. Its description in RNAcentral is "partial 16S ribosomal RNA". It matches the Rfam family "Bacterial small subunit ribosomal RNA", at positions 524 to 776 of the family's 1533-position model. The record is from RNAcentral.